Molecule: ribosomal RNA, 712 nt
Filed under: Salmonella enterica
Lineage: Bacteria; Pseudomonadati; Pseudomonadota; Gammaproteobacteria; Enterobacterales; Enterobacteriaceae
Description: partial 23S ribosomal RNA
Rfam family: Bacterial large subunit ribosomal RNA
Source: RNAcentral
ACCCGUAAUCCGGGUUGCGGACAGUGUCUGGUGGGUAGUUUGACUGGGGCGGUCUCCUCCUAAAGAGUAACGGAGGAGCACGAAGGUUGGCUAAUCCUGGUCGGACAUCAGGAGGUUAGUGCAAUGGCAUAAGCCAGCUUGACUGCGAGCGUGACGGCGCGAGCAGGUGCGAAAGCAGGUCAUAGUGAUCCGGUGGUUCUGAAUGGAAGGGCCAUCGCUCAACGGAUAAAAGGUACUCCGGGGAUAACAGGCUGAUACCGCCCAAGAGUUCAUAUCGACGGCGGUGUUUGGCACCUCGAUGUCGGCUCAUCACAUCCUGGGGCUGAAGUAGGUCCCAAGGGUAUGGCUGUUCGCCAUUUAAAGUGGUACGCGAGCUGGGUUUAGAACGUCGUGAGACAGUUCGGUCCCUAUCUGCCGUGGGCGCUGGAGAACUGAGGGGGGCUGCUCCUAGUACGAGAGGACCGGAGUGGACGUAUCACUGGUGUUCGGGUUGUCAUGCCAAUGGCACUGUCCGGUAGCUAAAUGCGGAAGAGAUAAGUGCUGAAAGCAUCUAAGCACGAAACUUGCCCCGAGAUGAGUUCUCCCUGAGACUUUAGGUCUCCUGAAGGAACGUUGAAGACGACGACGUUGAUAGGCCGGGUGUGUAAGCGCAGCGAUGCGUUGAGCUAACCGGUACUAAUGAACCGUGAGGCUUAACCUUACAACGCCGAAG